Molecule: long non-coding RNA, 343 nt
Filed under: Ananas comosus (pineapple)
Lineage: Eukaryota; Viridiplantae; Streptophyta; Magnoliopsida; Poales; Bromeliaceae
Description: long non-coding RNA (ACOM_LNC034522)
Source: RNAcentral
AAUAACUAACGCAUACAAUACCCUGAAAAAGGGUCUUCGCCCCUGCGCACAAAAGACCACCUUUAUUUUCCUGCCUCUUUCUUUCCUGUAUUUACCGCUUUUCAUAGGAGUAACUCUCGUAACUUAGCAUACUUGGAGUCUGUCUGCCCUACGGGCAUCACUCCCCUGUUCUUUUACUUGCAGUCUAUCUGCCCUACGGGCAUCACUCCCCUGUUCUUGUACGUCUAUUCAAUAGAAAGUCAUUUUCGGUUCUUCUCGCCGAUCAGAUCUCGAGUUGUUUAGCUAUUCGGCUCAUUUUCCAGUCGAAUUCUGGGCUUCCCCUCUUUAUUCGGUUCAUCCCGCC